This 360-nucleotide ribosomal RNA is filed under the name uncultured bacterium. Its description in RNAcentral is "bacterial SSU rRNA". It matches the Rfam family "Bacterial small subunit ribosomal RNA", at positions 29 to 416 of the family's 1533-position model. The record is from RNAcentral.
AACGAACGCUGGCGGCAGGCCUAACACAUGCAAGUCGAGCGAACCCUUCGGGGUUAGCGGCGGACGGGUUAGUAACGCGUGGGAAUAUACCCUUUGGUACGGAAUAGCCUCGGGAAACUGAGAGUAAUACCGUAUGUGCCCUUCGGGGGAAAGAUUUAUCGCCAAAGGAUUAGCCCGCGUUGGAUUAGAUAGUUGGUGGGGUAAUGGCCUACCAAGUCUACGAUCCAUAGCUGGUUUGAGAGGAUGAUCAGCAACACUGGGACUGAGACACGGCCCAGACUCCUACGGGAGGCAGCAGUGGGGAAUUUUGGACAAUGGGCGCAAGCCUGAUCCAGCCAUGCCGCGUGAGUGAAGAAGGCC